This 30-nucleotide non-coding RNA is filed under the name Rattus norvegicus (Norway rat). Lineage: Eukaryota; Metazoa; Chordata; Mammalia; Rodentia; Muridae. The record is from RNAcentral.
UGGCAGGAGCCUUGUAGGGUUUAGUGCCGA